Molecule: ribosomal RNA, 463 nt
Filed under: uncultured bacterium
Lineage: Bacteria
Description: partial 16S ribosomal RNA
Rfam family: Bacterial small subunit ribosomal RNA
Source: RNAcentral
AGUGAACGCUGGCGGCGUGCCUAAUACAUGCAAGUCGAACGAUGAAGUCCUAGCUUGCUAGGCUGGAUUAGUGGCGCACGGGUGAGUAAUAUAUAGUUAAUCUGCCCUACACAGAGGAACAACAGUUGGAAACGACUGCUAAUACCUCAUACUCCUAUUUGACAUAAGUUAAAUAGGGAAAGUCUUUUCGGUGUAGGAUGAGACUAUAUCGUAUCAGCUAGUUGGUAAGGUAAUGGCUUACCAAGGCUAUGACGCGUAACUGGUCUGAGAGGAUGAUCAGUCACAUUGGAACUGAGACACGGUACAAACUCCUACGGGAGACAGCAGUAAGGAAUAUUGCGCAAUGGGGGAAACCCUGACGCAGCAACGCCGCGUGGAGGAUGACACUUUUCGGAGCGUAAACUCCUUUUAUCAGGAAAGAAUAAUGACGGUACCUGAUGAAUAAGCACCGGCUAACUCCGUG